CAGCAGCCACGGUAAUACGUAGGGUGCGAGCGUUGUCCGGAAUUAUUGGGCGUAAAGAGCUUGUAGGUGGUUUGUCGCGUCUGCUGUGAAAAUCCGAGGCUCAACCUCGGACUUGCAGUGGGUACGGGCAGACUAGAGUGUGGUAGGGGAGACUGGAAUUCCUGGUGUAGCGGUGGAAUGCGCAGAUAUCAGGAGGAACACCGAUGGCGAAGGCAGGUCUCUGGGCCAUUACUGACACUGAGAAGCGAAAGCAUGGGGAGCGAACAGGAUUAGAUACCCCCGUAGUCCCUGUCUCUUAUAA
This 301-nucleotide ribosomal RNA is filed under the name uncultured bacterium. RNAcentral's name for it is "partial 16S ribosomal RNA". It matches the Rfam family "Bacterial small subunit ribosomal RNA", at positions 509 to 809 of the family's 1533-position model. The record is from RNAcentral.